GUGGUCAGGCGGAUGGUCGCUCUGCGCCGCCGCUCCCGAUUCAAUCGGGACGACGUGUGCGGGGAGGAAAGUCCGGACUCCGCAGGGUAGGGUGUCCUGGUGUAAUGCCGGGAGGUCUUUCGAUUAAUCGAAAGAAACGGAUAGUGCCACAGAAAUAAACCGCCCCAAAGCCGCGUCAGCGCGCCGAGGGGCAAGGGUGAAACGGCGGUGUAAGAGACCACCGCUCCGGACCGUAAGGUCAGGAGGCAAGGCAAACCCCGCCUGGAGCAAGAUCAAAUAUGAUGCUGGCAAGGCGACCCGCCUUUAUCCGGCGAAUGCCGGAUCAGCAUCGGGUUGAUCGCAAUAAGUCCCGGCCGCCGCCGGCCAGGCAAGAUAAAUGACCAUCGUGCCGGUCGGGCAGGCCUGCCGGCACACAAAAUCCGGCUUAUAGCCUGGCCGCCUGA
Molecule: RNase P RNA, 443 nt
Filed under: Kiritimatiellia bacterium
Lineage: Bacteria; Pseudomonadati; Kiritimatiellota; Kiritimatiellia
Description: RNase P RNA component class A
Rfam family: Bacterial RNase P class A
About the family: Ribonuclease P (RNase P) is a ubiquitous endoribonuclease, found in archaea, bacteria and eukarya as well as chloroplasts and mitochondria.
Source: RNAcentral